This 727-nucleotide ribosomal RNA is filed under the name Streptomyces sp. RNAcentral describes it as "bacterial SSU rRNA". It matches the Rfam family "Bacterial small subunit ribosomal RNA", at positions 137 to 876 of the family's 1533-position model. The record is from RNAcentral. Lineage: Bacteria; Bacillati; Actinomycetota; Actinomycetes; Kitasatosporales; Streptomycetaceae.
UCUGGGACAAGCCCUGGAAACGGGGUCUAAUACCGGAUGAUACCCGCCUCGGCAUCGAGGCGGGUUGAAAGCUCCGGCGGUGCAGGAUGAGCCCGCGGCCUAUCAGCUUGUUGGUGGGGUGAUGGCCUACCAAGGCGACGACGGGUAGCCGGCCUGAGAGGGCGACCGGCCACACUGGGACUGAGACACGGCCCAGACUCCUACGGGAGGCAGCAGUGGGGAAUAUUGCACAAUGGGCGAAAGCCUGAUGCAGCGACGCCGCGUGAGGGAUGACGGCCUUCGGGUUGUAAACCUCUUUCAGCAGGGAAGAAGCGAAAGUGACGGUACCUGCAGAAGAAGCGCCGGCUAACUACGUGCCAGCAGCCGCGGUAAUACGUAGGGCGCAAGCGUUGUCCGGAAUUAUUGGGCGUAAAGAGCUCGUAGGCGGCUUGUCACGUCGGUUGUGAAAGCCCGGGGCUUAACCCCGGGUCUGCAGUCGAUACGGGCAGGCUAGAGUGUGGUAGGGGAGAUCGGAAUUCCUGGUGUAGCGGUGAAAUGCGCAGAUAUCAGGAGGAACACCGGUGGCGAAGGCGGAUCUCUGGGCCAUUACUGACGCUGAGGAGCGAAAGCGUGGGGAGCGAACAGGAUUAGAUACCCUGGUAGUCCACGCCGUAAACGUUGGGAACUAGGUGUUGGCGACAUUCCACGUCGUCGGUGCCGCAGCUAACGCAUUAAGUUCCCCGCCUGG